Molecule: ribosomal RNA, 389 nt
Filed under: Anomalopus verreauxii (Three-clawed worm-skink)
Lineage: Eukaryota; Metazoa; Chordata; Lepidosauria; Squamata; Scincidae
Description: partial 12S ribosomal RNA
Rfam family: Bacterial small subunit ribosomal RNA
Source: RNAcentral
GCUUAGCCAUAAACACAGAUAGUACAAACACAAUACUAUCCGCCAGAGAACUACAAGCGAAAAGCUUAAAACUCCAAGGACUUGGCGGUGCUUCAAAUCAACCUAGAGGAGCCUGUCCUAUAAUCGAUACCCCCCGUUCUACCUUACCCCUUCUAGCCAACCAGCCUAUAUACCGCCGUCGUCAGCCUACCUUAUGAAAGAAGUAAAGUGAGCAAAAAAGUUAACAACUAACACGUCAGGUCAAGGUGUAGCACACGAAGUGGCAGAGAUGGGCUACAUUUUUUCAAAGCAAAAACACGAAUGGUAGGCUGAAACGCUUACCCGAAGGCGGAUUUAGUAGUAAAAUAAACAAGAGUCAUCAUCUUAAACUGGCUCUGAAGCGCGCACAC